GACGAACGCUGGCGGCGUGCUUAACACAUGCAAGUCGAACGGAAAGGCCCUGCUUUUGUGGGGUGCUCGAGUGGCGAACGGGUGAGUAACACGUGAGUAACCUGCCCUUGACUUUGGGAUAACUUCAGGAAACUGGGGCUAAUACCGGAUAGGAGCUCCUGCUGCAUGGUGGGGGUUGGAAAGUUUCGGCGGUUGGGGAUGGACUCGCGGCUUAUCAGCUUGUUGGUGGGGUAGUGGCUUACCAAGGCUUUGACGGGUAGCCGGCCUGAGAGGGUGACCGGCCACCUUGGGACUGGGGUACGGCCCAGACUCCUACGGGAGGCAGCAGUGGGGAAUAUUGCACAAUGGGCGGAAGCCUGAUGCAGCAACGCCGCGUGCGGGAUGACGGCCUUCGGGUUGUAAACCGCUUUCGCCUGUGACGAAGCGUGAGUGACGGUAAUGGGUAAAGAAGCACCGGCUAACUACGUG
This 468-nucleotide ribosomal RNA is filed under the name uncultured bacterium. RNAcentral describes it as "partial 16S ribosomal RNA". It matches the Rfam family "Bacterial small subunit ribosomal RNA", at positions 28 to 507 of the family's 1533-position model. The record is from RNAcentral.